CAACGUUUUAAAUUAAAAUAUUAACAAUUCCUUAUCACUUCAUUUGUACAGUUGUAGCUACCAUCACCGACAAUGUUUACUGGCUUUCGUCCCAUUCAAGCUAGUCUUGUGGUCAAUACUACAUGAAGUAUUUAUGGGUUUACGUCGGUUUAACUCUACAUUACCAGAUACAAAUACAUCUUUUCGAGAUCUUGUGGAAAGCAAAUUUAUGAAAGCAA
Non-coding RNA from Paramuricea clavata, 218 nucleotides. The record is from the annotation of a GenBank genome assembly. Lineage: Eukaryota; Metazoa; Cnidaria; Anthozoa; Malacalcyonacea; Plexauridae.